GACGAACGCUGGCGGCGUGCUUAACACAUGCAAGUCGAACGGAAAGGCCCUGCUUUUGUGGGGUGCUCGAGUGGCGAACGGGUGAGUAACACGUGAGUAACCUGCCCUUGACUUUGGGAUAACUUCAGGAAACUGGGGCUAAUACCGGAUAGGAGCUCCUGCUGCAUGGUGGGGGUUGGAAAGUUUCGGCGGUUGGGGAUGGACUCGCGGCUUAUCAGCUUGUUGGUGGGGUAGUGGCUUACCAAGGCUUUGACGGGUAGCCGGCCUGAGAGGGUGACCGGCGACAUUGGGACUGAGAUACGGAGCAGACGCCUACGGGAGGCAGCAGUGGGGAAUAUUGCACAGUGGGCGGAAGCCUGAGGCAGAAACGCCGCGUGCGGGAUGACGGCCUUCGGGUUGUAAACCGCUUUAGCCUGUGACGAAGCGUGAGUGACGGUAAUGGGUAAAGAAGCACCGGCUAACUACGUG
RNAcentral lists this ribosomal RNA (468 nucleotides) under uncultured bacterium. RNAcentral's name for it is "partial 16S ribosomal RNA". It matches the Rfam family "Bacterial small subunit ribosomal RNA", at positions 28 to 507 of the family's 1533-position model. The record is from RNAcentral.